GAAGAAUAAAUGUGACAGGAAGGAAGUAAAUGGUCGCACAAUUGUUAGUAAUGAGUCACAAAGGUGAUGUUUCAAGGUGAUCACUGAAGGUGUUGUUGUGAUGCUUACGUCGAAAGGAGUGUGUUUGGUUGUUGCUGGUGAUUUACAGUUGCUAUGGGAGGAGAUAGAAGGGAAGUGUGAUGAAGAUGGAAGUUGUUUUGUUGAAAGAGUUAUCUUUGUGGAGUCAAGAGUAAAAUGAGGAGAGAGUGGGAUGGACCUUUUAUGAGAUAGACUUGAAAUGGAGUGGUAAGAGGUUAGGAAAUGGAAGGAGUGGAAAUGAUAUGAGUGAAAGAGGAAGUAUAAGCGAGUUGGAUCAAGGAGAGGGUUGGUGGCUUAGAAAUUUUAUUCCUGCUUUUCUCUAAAGAGAGGGGGGAGAGAAAUCUUAAGGCAUUGUUUUUUAUUCCGUCACCUAGCCAAAAAACCAUUUUAAUUAUUUUCUUCUCCCUUUUCUAUUAUGAGCUCAGAGAGAGGUCACGUUCUCAAAACAUUCCACUCUCUAGCUACAUGUUUUUCCACCCUCUUACCAGCUAGCUUUUUCUUAUUUUGGUUUUUUGUAUUUCCUGAUUAUUUGAUUGGAUGAGAGAAUAAGUUAAGGAUAG
This 638-nucleotide long non-coding RNA is filed under the name Lathyrus oleraceus (garden pea). RNAcentral's name for it is "Pisum sativum (pea) long non-coding RNA (PSAT_LNC012697)". The record is from RNAcentral. Lineage: Eukaryota; Viridiplantae; Streptophyta; Magnoliopsida; Fabales; Fabaceae.